GUUGACGGUCAAAGCGGAGGGGCAACACCCGUUCUCAUCCCGAACACGGAAGUAAAGUCCUCCAGCGAUCCGGCCGGUACUGCAUAAUAUGUGGGAAACCCGGGACGCUGUCAACC
This 116-nucleotide ribosomal RNA is filed under the name Candidatus Altarchaeales archaeon. Lineage: Archaea; Nanobdellati; Candidatus Altarchaeota; Candidatus Altarchaeia; Candidatus Altarchaeales. The record is from RNAcentral.